Molecule: non-coding RNA, 947 nt
Organism: Hydra vulgaris (swiftwater hydra)
Lineage: Eukaryota; Metazoa; Cnidaria; Hydrozoa; Anthoathecata; Hydridae
Source: RefSeq, a predicted model, not a curated record
CUCUAUACGUCAUUUAGAAGAUCAAUUAGAAAAGACAAUGCGUAAGAAAAAUUAAAUUUUAGUUGUAUUACUUGUUUAAUUGCCCAAAGUUUAGUGACUUGUAACCAAUAUUAAUUUUUUUAAUUUGUAGUAAAUUAAAAACUCUAGAUUUAGUUUAAUUGAAUUUGUUAUUAUUUUUAGAGGAUUUCAUGAGAAACAGUAAGUGAUAUAAAGUUUAAUAAAUUGUCGAGUAGACAUUUUGGCUAGUUUUUAACUUUAUUUGAUUUUUGAAGAUUAUAUUUCAUAGAUGAAUUAAAUAGUGUUAAUCGAAAAAUAAUUUUAAGUUCAAAAAAUUUUUCAAUUUUUAUUAUCUUUCUUAUUUAGUGAACUCUAGUGGAUCUAGUUCUACUUUUGUGCCUCCUCCUGUUACCACUGUUGUGUCUCCUCCUGUUGUCACUACACUUACAUAUGCUGAUUAUUUAACCUAUCGGUCCCAGCAUCCAGGACCCCGAUCAAACAAAUCUUUUUUGAGUUGGGUCCGGAAUGGUGGGGAGGACUAUCCACAUUUUAGGUGGCAUCCCUACUCGGGUGCUGGGUCAAACAACCGAGGGCAUCAGGAAAGGAGACGUGGCAAUAGAGGAGGCAGCAGCGGAAGCACUUUUAAUUAUUAUUUAAAUUAAAAGUUUAUAUUUUUGUUCGUUUUUAUUUUGUAAAUAUAAGAUUUUUUGUUAAUAAAAGUUAGUUCUUUCUUCAAUGUGUUAAUGUAUUGUCCGCAGAAAAGUAACAAAAGCAUAACUCACUCUCUUAAAAUCUUUCUGCAAAUCUCUAUUAUGAUAUUAAAAAGUUGAUUUAUUUUAUUUUUGCAAGAGUUAUAAAUAAACACAACAAAAUUAGAAUCAUUAGAGUUCACAUCAAUAUUAGAAUCAUUUUGUCUUUUUAUCAUUUAAAAAUUUCUUUUUAAAUACGUU